CCUCUCUACUCUCUAUCAUAGAAGAAGAGUUCGUCUGAUAAAAAUUUUAUAUUUCGAUGUUAAAUUGACGGAGAAUUACAAGUUUGACAAACGAGUUUUUCAUAGCGUCCUAACCCAGUUCUAAACUACAGGGCUCAUAGUAGUGCUAGGUUCCUAACUAGCACCAUUUAUAAAAGGAAAGGAAAGCUCUUUUGUCAGGCUUGUCAUUCUCCUUCGCUGGCAUCGAAUGACAACGCCGGUGAUCGGAUCUGACCGCGAUUUGAUCGGUAGCUGCCGGCCUCCGUAGUUGGUUUCUGAAAACUAUGAAAACCCUAAUUACCUAUUCUACUUUGUUGGCAUGAAACGACAAACGCCCGAUGACUGGAUCCUCUCGCGACUGAGUUCGACAACGGAACAGCGGCUUGAUUCGAGCUGGUAUCUUGGAACUAUGGAAAUCAUAAUAUAUUUUCUAAUUUAACUGAGGUUUUUCGAAAUUAAAAUUCUUCCCUCUAUUAGACUUUUCCUAUACAUAUUAGGUUUCGCUUGUCUAUUGGGAUAUCCUGUAUUAAAUCUGAUGACACGACCUUUAUCGAGCAGUAUGUUCGAAUUUAAAGCCUGUCCUUGGAAUUUAUUUUAAUUUACAUAUUUAGAUCUCUUUUCUCGUCGAUGUUAUAAUUCCUUCUAUGAGGUACAUAUGCUUUAACAUUCUGUUUAAAAAAUGGAUGUGUUUCUUCUUCCCAACGUAUGCUUGCUUCUCCUUAUUUUUUUCCAUUUCCGACACAGAUGCAAAACAAGAUUUGGCUUGUUUAUGCCCAAAUAAACACGUGCAUGAUGGCAAUCAUUCUUGUCCGAAAUAGUGGUUGACGUGUAAAAUAAAGAUGAAUUGAUGUAUCUAUACUGAUUUUAACUUUAUGUUGCUUCCUCCAAUUGCUCCUUGUAUAAUUUGGGGGAUGCAUGUUUUGGCAUUAAGCUGAAGUUUACUGUCAUGGAAGGUUUUUAGUUCAUUUGCAAGCUGGCAUCAGCAGGAGAAAAUUGGUCUCUGCUUUCUUCGAGGCCAGUUAAAUGACUACAUCAG
RNAcentral lists this long non-coding RNA (1054 nucleotides) under Olea europaea subsp. europaea. The record is from RNAcentral. Lineage: Eukaryota; Viridiplantae; Streptophyta; Magnoliopsida; Lamiales; Oleaceae.